UUCAACUUGAGAGUUUUGAUCCUGGCUCAGAACGAACGCUGGCGGCAGGCUUAACACAUGCAAGUCGAGCGCAUCCUUCGGGGUGAGCGGCGGACGGGUGAGUAACGCGUGGGAACGUGCCCUCUUCUACGGAAUAGCCCAGGGAAACUUGGAUUAAUGCCGUAUACGCCCGAA
RNAcentral lists this ribosomal RNA (174 nucleotides) under Amaricoccus sp. HAR-UPW-R2A-40. Its description in RNAcentral is "partial 16S ribosomal RNA". It matches the Rfam family "Bacterial small subunit ribosomal RNA", at positions 1 to 183 of the family's 1533-position model. The record is from RNAcentral. Lineage: Bacteria; Pseudomonadati; Pseudomonadota; Alphaproteobacteria; Rhodobacterales; Paracoccaceae.